Molecule: ribosomal RNA, 475 nt
Filed under: Talaromyces sp.
Lineage: Eukaryota; Fungi; Ascomycota; Eurotiomycetes; Eurotiales; Trichocomaceae
Description: partial large subunit ribosomal RNA
Rfam family: Eukaryotic large subunit ribosomal RNA
Source: RNAcentral
CUAGUAACGGCGAGUGAAGCGGCAAGAGCUCAAAUUUGAAAGCUGGCUCCUUCGGGGUCCGCAUUGUAAUUUGCAGAGGAUGCUUCGGGAGCGGUCCCCGUCUAAGUGCCCUGGAACGGGCCGUCAUAGAGGGUGAAAAUCCCGUAUGGGACGGGGUGUCCGCGCCCGUGUGAAGCUCCUUCGACGAGUCGAGUUGUUUGGGAAUGCAGCUCUAAAUGGGUGGUAAAUUUCAUCUAAAGCUAAAUAUUGGCCGGAGACCGAUAGCGCACAAGUAGAGUGAUCGAAAGAUGAAAAGCACUUUGAAAAGAGAGUUAAAAAGCACGUGAAAUUGUUGAAAGGGAAGCGCUUGCGACCAGACUCGCCUACGGGGUUCAGCCGGCAUUCGUGCCGGUGUACUUCCCCGUGGGCGGGCCAGCGUCGGUUUGGGCGGCCGGUCAAAGGCUCCCGGGAUGUAACGCCUCUCGGGGCGUCUUAU